Molecule: transfer RNA, 72 nt
Filed under: Campylobacter jejuni subsp. jejuni
Lineage: Bacteria; Pseudomonadati; Campylobacterota; Epsilonproteobacteria; Campylobacterales; Campylobacteraceae
Description: tRNA-Thr
Rfam family: tRNA
About the family: Transfer RNA (tRNA) molecules are approximately 80 nucleotides in length. Their secondary structure includes four short double-helical elements and three loops (D, anti-codon, and T loops).
Source: RNAcentral
GCUCGUAUAGCUCAGAGGUAGAGCACUCCCUUGGUAAGGGAGAGGUCGCGGGUUCAAUUCCCGCUAUGAGCU